Molecule: ribosomal RNA, 459 nt
Filed under: uncultured bacterium
Lineage: Bacteria
Description: partial 16S ribosomal RNA
Rfam family: Bacterial small subunit ribosomal RNA
Source: RNAcentral
CCUACGGGUGGCAGCAGUGAGGAAUAUUGGUCAAUGGGCGCGAGCCUGAACCAGCCAAGUCGCGUGAGGGAAGACGGUCCUAUGGAUUGUAAACCUCUUUUGUCGGGGAGCAAAAGACGCCACGCGUGGCGUUCCGAGAGUACCCGAAGAAAAAGCAUCGGCUAACUCCGAGUCAGCAGCCGCGGUAAUACGUAGGAUGCGAGCGUUAUCCGGAUUUAGUGGGUUUAAAGGGUGCGCAGGCGGAAGAUCAAGUCAGAGGUAAAAUUGAGAGGCUCAACCUCUUCGAGACGUUGAAUCUGGUUAUCUUGAGUGAGCGAGAGGUAUGCGGAAUGCGUGGUGUAGCGGUGAAAUGCAUAGAUAUCACGCAGAACUCCGAUUGCGAAGGCAGCAUACCGGCGCUCAACUGACGCUCAGGCACGAAAGUGUGGGGAUCGAACAGGAUUAGAUACCCGGGUAGUC